AAAGGAUGGUGUGGAGAGACGUUCUAGUUGUACACUGCUUUGUAAAGAGUUUGGUUCCUCCGAGUGCACUAGAAACUAAAAUGCUCUAAGUAGUUCAGCACAGGAGACCCCACCAGUUUGUUGCAAACGUGCAGCGCUCUUCCUUGGAAGUACCAUGCUGUCAUCAGUCACCUUCCAAAGUCUGCAGUCAGCACUCUACACCCCUUGGUGUAUGGAGGCUCUCUUGGAAAUAAGGCCACACACAGUUCUCUGCACAGAAGCAGAAGCUGCCUCAGUACUGGCCAGCUUCCCUGGGGUACCUCAGGCUCCUACAGAACCUUUAAGAAAACUUCACUUGCAGAAAACUUGAGUCAAAAAUUCUGGAACUUGAAAAAGGGCCUCUGGAACUGGCUUUAUCCUGUAACAAAAGCACUGCCAAGCAUCUCAGAAACUACUUAUGUACUGGAGGAGUUCGGGGCCUUCAACUUACCUGGCUUAACGUAACUUCACCAUGGCCUGCCGAGCUGCUAAGUCACUUACAUUCUCAGGUAACCAACCACUGGGCCCUGCCAGCCCUGCUGGCAGCUCUGGCAGCCUCUGCAUCUGACUGUGGACCUUGUACAAAAACCUCAUAAAAUUUUUUUCUGAAAAUGAAGACAAGUACAGAAUUUGGCACUACUUACAUUUGCAGACACUUUUUAGAUUAUGUAUUAAUCUACAAGUUAAUGACCUAUCUUCAUUUCUAGCAGAAGGCUUACUUGAAGACUUAAGGAAUGUAACAUACCAUGGAAACUUCUCACUAUACAUACUCCAUCCCUCUCUUAAAUACUAAAUUAGGUCAAAAAUAAAAGGCACAAACUAAAGAGCAGUAUACCUUACUUCCUGUGGAAAAUACCAGGUAUAUUUCAUCCACCUCAUUAUUAUCAACCUUGGAAGAAAAACAGUGGCUCUCACCCACAGUAGAAAGCCUUUUUUACUAUAGUGGUGAAUCCAGAAUCCUACACUUUCCAACAGGCCACAAUGCAGCUAACCCCUACAACAUGCUUAUUGUUACCCAUUAUACUUUAGGAAAAAAAAAAAAAAAACUAAAAAGGGUGGACAUUUCUAAAAUCAAAGCAGCUUUCUACUGUCCCUUUUUUUGUUUCAAUUUUAAAUGGUCAGAGUAGCCUUCCUUUUCUCUCCAUCCUAGUUCUUUUCCUAAUAGAAAGGCCAAGCAGUGAAGUAAACCUUGGGUGAUGGGAAGUCACACAUGGAAGAAAUGAGAAUUUUAGACAUAUAAUAUCAACUAAUACUAGAAAUUUGCAAGCUGCAACCCCACCUGUCCCAAGAUCCUCCAGUUCCCUAAGACUCAACUAAUCUCCCUUAUAACCAUUAUAGAAACUGAGAACUAUUACAACUAGGAGUUAACCCAGAUAAUUAAAGCCUAGCAGUGACUAAAUUGACAAAAAAAAAAAAAAAAAAAAAAAAAA
Molecule: long non-coding RNA, 1448 nt
Filed under: Rattus norvegicus (Norway rat)
Lineage: Eukaryota; Metazoa; Chordata; Mammalia; Rodentia; Muridae
Description: long non-coding RNA NONRATT028908
Source: RNAcentral